Molecule: ribosomal RNA, 1134 nt
Filed under: Parachristianella sp. PDO-2006
Lineage: Eukaryota; Metazoa; Platyhelminthes; Cestoda; Trypanorhyncha; Eutetrarhynchidae
Description: partial 28S ribosomal RNA
Rfam family: Eukaryotic large subunit ribosomal RNA
Source: RNAcentral
GGUCGGCUGGCGGGACUGCCACUCCAUUCGAAGUCCAGCAUUGAGUAUGGUGUACUGGAUUUGGCCCAGAGAGGGUGAAAGGCCCGUGCGAGUGGAUGUUACAGACAUGUAAGGCAGUUCAUCANGCCGACCUUCGAGUCGGGUUGCUUGAGAAUGCANCCCUAAGCGGGUGGUAAACUCCAUCCAAGGCUAAAUACCUGCACAAGUCCGAUAGCGAACAAGUACCGUGAGGGAAAGUUGAAAAGUACUCUGAAGAGAGAGUAAAGAGCACGUGAAGCCGUAUAGAGGUAAACGAGUGGCGUCAAGCUGCGAGCCUGGAGGAUUCAGUUGGUCGUUAUGUUGUGUGUAUGCCUUGUGUACCUCGGUCGGUGAUAGUGAGUGGUCUGCCACAAAUGGUGGGCCUGGCCGCAAGGUCGGGAUGCAUGCACCCUGGGAUAGGUGUGCGUGUGCUACUCAACUAUUGGACUGGGCGGUCAAUGCAAUUCCUCCAUCAGGCGAACACCACGACCGGUGGCGUUGCCAGUCUGGUAUGGUCACAUCGCGUUUGGUUCUGCAGCAAUGCAAGCCGAAUUCGGUCGCAGUUGAUUCAGCGGACGGUGAGACUUUCUUCGGGAGGUUUCAUGUUAUCGGUCGCUGGUUAACAGCGGGAGUCUGCUGUGCUUGCAGUGCGCAGUGGAUUUCUGGCGGGCCAUGCUGGUAUGAAUAACUGUGCAAAGCACCGGAGUUGUCGGUCGCUCACCUGACCAUCAUUCACGCUGCAAGUGGCAGUGGCGGGGUUAUCGCAGGCUGUCGGCAGUUGGACCUGAUUGCUAUGUUGCCUGCGCAAAGUGGGCCUGGCAGUGGUUCGAUUCCGGUUAGAUUUGCUGGUGGCUCUGCCGUGUGAUGGUCAGUGUCGAUCUGAAAGUCUGUGGUGUUGUGGUAGAUUAGCUACUCGACCCGUCUUGAAACACGGACCAAGGAGUUCGACAUGCACGCGAGUCAAUGGGCGUUACGAAACCCAAAGGCGUAGUGAAAGCAAAGCCUCGACUUGUUCUCGGGGUGUGGUGAGAUCCUGCUGUUUCUCGCACAGCACUUGUGUCGUGAGUUGGCUCAAGGCGGGUAAGAGCGGUAGGCGCAUCACCGGCCCGUACCCAU